UACGUAGGGGGCUAGCGUUGUCCGGAAUCAUUGGGCGUAAAGCGCGUGUAGGCGGCCCGGUAAGUCCGCUGUGAAAGUCGGGGGCUCAACCCUCGGAUGCCGGUGGAUACUGUCGGGCUCGAGUACGGAAGAGGCGAGUGGAAUUCCUGGUGUAGCGGUGAAAUGCGUAGAUAUCGGGAGGAACACCAGUGGCGAAGGCGGGCAUCUGGGCCAACACUGACGCUGAGGCGCGAAAGCUAGGGGAGUAAACAGG
Molecule: ribosomal RNA, 253 nt
Filed under: uncultured bacterium
Lineage: Bacteria
Description: partial 16S ribosomal RNA
Rfam family: Bacterial small subunit ribosomal RNA
Source: RNAcentral